This 1004-nucleotide unclassified non-coding RNA is filed under the name Hevea brasiliensis (rubber tree). Lineage: Eukaryota; Viridiplantae; Streptophyta; Magnoliopsida; Malpighiales; Euphorbiaceae. The record is from RNAcentral.
GCAGUUUUGAAGAAAUGUAAAUCACUUCAACCAUGAUUCUAUUUCUCUUUAAUAAUAAAGGGGAAACAGGAAAGAAAGUUUAUGUGAAAUUCAUACUUGGCCCUUUUCAUGUGUAUAUGGCUAGCCAAAUCAGAAGGCAUGAAAAAUCAAACUAGUGGAUAGCCUGGGCCCAAUUGUUUUAUGAACUUAUUAAUGAUUGCAGUCACUUACAAUAUAAGAAGAAUAGUUGGGUUAUUCUUACAAUAGUAGAAACCUAAAAAGAAAUGGUAAGUUUUGCCUCUAUAUAAGCUUUACCUUGGUAAAAAGUUUUCAACAGACAAUCCUCUACAACUAUUCUCUCAUUGAGCCACAUAUUCCAGCAAUAUUAAAAAAAUACUUCUUCCCAAGUGAUUAAACUGAGUUCUAAUUGAACUUCUAGAAGUCUUAACAGUAGCAAAAUUAGGAUUCUAAGAUGAAAAUAGUCUAUGUGCCAAUGGAAGACUUGCUAAGAAAUAAGGAAAAAAAAAAGUUAAGGCAACACAACUGUAAGUUAGCAUAAAAGGAUACUAAAUUUGUCACAUACUUUUCUUUUAGAAUAAUCCAUCUUUUGAACGGAGUAGCACCUAAAUACAAUUGCAAUCUAGUAACAUGGUUAAAUACUGCCAAUACCUGAUAUUCAACCUUAAUGUAACAUGAACAAGUCAAUCCCCAAAAAAAAGCAAAGGCAUCCAAAAACUAAAUUUCAGCAGCUGAAUGGCCAUAUAAAAGAAAAUGGCACUCCUUAUAAAGUUAAGGCCAAUGGUAAGGGAAAUCAUGCACAGCCACCUAUCCCAGCCAUUCCCGCAAUGCAAGCGCAAUGGACCUGUGCAUUGCACAAAUGGCUCAGAUGAGAUGACUAAGCACUACUGCCUGCAGUGUCCUACAGGGUGAAGCAUGGCAACUAAUAUGGAUAUUCAAAUCCAGUUAGGAUGUUUGCUCCAAGGCUGCCCUCUUCUACCAAUUUUAGGUGCCAAAACCAAUCUGCU